This 432-nucleotide long non-coding RNA is filed under the name Mustela putorius furo (domestic ferret). RNAcentral describes it as "lncRNA (ENSMPUG00000028896.1)". The record is from RNAcentral. Lineage: Eukaryota; Metazoa; Chordata; Mammalia; Carnivora; Mustelidae.
GUUUUCUUUCUUCUUAUUUGUUGGAGAAUGUUGAUAGAGGAUUAUAAAAUCUCCAGUGUAGCUUAAUAUGGUUGUAAUGAAGCUAUGGUCAUUCCCUUUUCAGGAAAUCCUCCAUUGUUUGAUGAUGCUGUUCUUCUCAUGAUGUCACUGUAAAUGCAUGACUUCUUUGCCAGAACUAGAGAGAGAAAGAGAGAGAGCAGGAGGAGGGGCAGAGGGGAAAGGAAAGAGAGAAUCAUAAGGAGACUCCCCAUUGAGCACAGAGCCCCACAUGGGGCUCAAUCCCAGGACCCUGAGAUCAUGACCUGAGCCAAAAUCAAGAGUGGGGCAUUUGACCGACUCAGCCACCUCAUCUACUUUUAAGGUUAGCCAGAGUUAAAUGUAUAUUAUUUCUGAUUUUGUUCUUUUCUCAACUCUUUCUACCUUUUAACCUCU